UCUAGACACGAGAAGACCAAGAUGAAGCGUGUUGGUGGUGCUGUCCAGUGGAGCUGCUGCCGGCGUCCACUAAGGCCUGAGGCUAUUGCCUUCUUCGACUGUGACCUCUCCUACCGUGAUGGCCUUCUUCUUCGACUAUGUGUUUAGGUGAUGCAAGUUUUACAAGGCUGGUAGCAUCGUAGGCAUGACUGGAGGGUGGAAGGACAGGAAGCGAAAGCUGAACUCCUCUUCUUGCGAAACCAAUUGAAUACCUGAGUUGUAUUGGUUGUGGAAUGUUAUUUGAGUCCAGAUCUGGAAUGUUGUGUUGUAGUCGACAAAGUAACAUCGUUCUUGUGAUGCUCCAGAGUUGUGGUGUAGUUGGCUUGUCAUGUUGCACUUUUAUUGAUUAUUGUUUGGAUUGUGAUCUGAUUAUCCCCAAAAUAGGGUAGGUUAUGCCGAAUUUUUCUGAGAAUUUGACAAAUUAA
This is a long non-coding RNA of Lolium rigidum, 464 nucleotides long. RefSeq lists it as uncharacterized. The record is from RefSeq and is a predicted model, not a curated record. The transcript is spliced from 2 exons. NCBI's taxonomy places the organism in Eukaryota, Viridiplantae, Streptophyta, Magnoliopsida, Poales, Poaceae.